AAAAUGGAUCUUUGAGAAGAACUUUGUUUUCUUUCAUUUAAAUAUGAACAGCUUGCAGAUUUGAACAUCCAGUACUCCAACAAGUUGCUGAUGCUCCCAUAUUCAUACACCACUUACUGUAAACAAGUGUCAUAGUACAAAACAGCAUAUGGAGUUCACCAAUGAAACUACUCAUUUUUACUAACUUCUGCUUUCUAACCACCAGUAAACACAGAGUCAUCAAGCUAAGUGAUCCUUUCAAAGCUAGCCAAUCAUGAAGACUGUGGAAUCAGAAGUUAUCAAAUAUUAAAGAUGUAAGUCACCACCUACUUCAGACAGACCUCUUGUCCUGGUG
This 334-nucleotide long non-coding RNA is filed under the name Cricetulus griseus (Chinese hamster). RNAcentral's name for it is "lncRNA (ENSCGRG00000025041.1)". The record is from RNAcentral. Lineage: Eukaryota; Metazoa; Chordata; Mammalia; Rodentia; Cricetidae.